This 460-nucleotide ribosomal RNA is filed under the name uncultured Anaerolineaceae bacterium. RNAcentral's name for it is "bacterial SSU rRNA". It matches the Rfam family "Bacterial small subunit ribosomal RNA", at positions 906 to 1382 of the family's 1533-position model. The record is from RNAcentral. Lineage: Bacteria; Bacillati; Chloroflexota; Anaerolineae; Anaerolineales; Anaerolineaceae.
GGAAUUGACGGGACCCGCACAAGCAGCGGAGCGUGUGGUUAAUUCGUUGCUACACGAAGAACCUUACCUGGGUUUGACAUAUAGGUUGUAGGGAACUGAAAAGGGACCGACCCUUCGGGGAGCCUAUACAGGUGUUGCAUGGCUGUCGUCAGCUCGUGUCGUGAGAUGUUCGGUUAAGUCCGCUAACGAGCGCAACCCUCGUCGUAUGUUAUAUGUGUCAUACGAGACUGCCGGUAAAAAGCCGGAGGAAGGUGAGGAUGAUGUCAAGUCAGCAUGACCUUUAUAUCCAGGGCUACACACACGCUACAAUGGUCUGUACAAUGGGUAGCCAAGCCGCGAGGCGGAGCCAAUCCUGAAAGCAGGCCUCAGUUCAGAUUGCAGUCUGCAACUCGACUGCAUGAAGUUGGAAUCGCUAGUAAUCGCGGAUCAGCAUGCCGCGGUCGAAUACGUUCCGGGCCUU